Molecule: ribosomal RNA, 465 nt
Filed under: uncultured bacterium
Lineage: Bacteria
Description: partial 16S ribosomal RNA
Rfam family: Bacterial small subunit ribosomal RNA
Source: RNAcentral
GACGAACGCUGGCGGCGUGCUUAACACAUGCAAGUCGAACGGAAAGGCCCCUUUUGGGGUACUCGAGUGGCGAACGGGUGAGUAACACGUGAGUAACCUGCCCUUGACUUCGGGAUAACUUCAGGAAACUGGGGCUAAUACCGGCUAGGAAUCCUUGCUGCAUGGUGGGGGUUGGAAAGCUUCGGCGGUUUUGGAUGGACUCGCGGCUUAUCAGCUUGUUGGUGGGGUAGUGGCUUACCAAGGCUUUGACGGGUAGCCGGCCUGAGAGGGCGACCGGCCACAUUGGGACUGAGAGACGGCCCAGACUCCUACGGGAGGCAGCAGUGGGGAAUAUUGCACAAUGGGCGGAAGCCUGAUGCAGCAACGCCGCGUGCGGGAUGACGGCCUUCGGGUUGUAAACCGCUUUCAGCAGGGGCGAAGCUUGUGGUGACGGUACCUGCAGAAGAAGCACCGGCUAACUACGUG